This 469-nucleotide ribosomal RNA is filed under the name uncultured bacterium. RNAcentral describes it as "partial 16S ribosomal RNA". It matches the Rfam family "Bacterial small subunit ribosomal RNA", at positions 28 to 507 of the family's 1533-position model. The record is from RNAcentral.
GAUGAACGCUGGCGGCGCGCCUAACACAUGCAAGUCGAACGGUUAAAGCACCUUUUAGGUGUGUAUAAAGUGGCGAACGGCUGAGUAACACGUGGGCAACCUGCCCUCCUCUUGGGGAUAGCCUCGGGAAACCGAGGAUAAUACCCGAUACUUCAAUGUGGCCGCAUGACGACAUUGAGAAAGCUUUUGCGGAGAAGGAUGGGCCCGCGGCCUGUUAGCUUGUUGGUGGGGUAGAGGCCUACCAAGGCAAUGAUGGGUAGCUGGGUUGAGAGACCGACCAGCCAGAUUGGGACUGAGACACGGCCCAGACUCCUACGGGAGGCAGCAGUGGGGAAUCUUGCACAAUGGGCGAAAGCCCGAUGCAGCGACGCCGCGUGCGGGACGAAGGCCUUCGGGUUGUAAACCGCUUUCAGCAGGGACGAGGCGAUAAGUGACGGUACCUGCAGAAGAAGCCCCGGCUAACUACGUG